Molecule: unclassified non-coding RNA, 689 nt
Filed under: Hevea brasiliensis (rubber tree)
Lineage: Eukaryota; Viridiplantae; Streptophyta; Magnoliopsida; Malpighiales; Euphorbiaceae
Source: RNAcentral
GGAAAAUCUAAACAAACAAAUUGAAUAAGUUUUGACUGACCUUUCAAGUGAAAAAAGUUACAACAUAACAGGCAUGAUUGCUAAAGAUAAAUGAUGAACAGUGGCAGCAUGACAAAUCUUGUUCUAUGAAGGCUUAGGCUAAAUCACCACCACUCUGUUGCCACAAAUUGAUGAUAUCCGUGGCCUGAUUAAGAAGAAUAAUUGCCUGUUUCUGGGAUAUCCAUGGUUUACUCUCGAGCAUGACUUUAAGUUCCUCCCAAGCAUCUUUUCUAGGCCAAAAAUAGUAGGGGCUCAACGGAAUCGUGCCAUGACCAGGAAUUACCUGGUCUAGUGAAAUUCCGAUGUUCUUCUCCAUCCAAAUAAACUUCAACACUAGCCUAGGUUUCUCCAGUGGCUUGACCAACACACCGAGCUUCUCUUUUUGAAGAGAAUCUGAGGAAAUAGAAUCACGGGUCGAUGUUUCUUCAGCAAAACUCAAGGCAGCCGCAGCUGAAGUAGCAAAACCCCCAAGAUUUCUUCUGGGUACGAUUGCUGAGACAUUAGAACGUCGAGAAAAAGACUGCCCCUUUGUAAAGAAGACAAAUUUGGGUGAAAAAAAUUGGUUUUGAGAAGAAAACGCAGGAACCCAAUUCACAGUAAGCUGUGUAGCCAUUGAUAACAUCAUUUUCAACAGCUAAGGGGAAACUCAG